This 253-nucleotide ribosomal RNA is filed under the name uncultured bacterium. RNAcentral describes it as "partial 16S ribosomal RNA". It matches the Rfam family "Bacterial small subunit ribosomal RNA", at positions 524 to 776 of the family's 1533-position model. The record is from RNAcentral.
UACGUAGGGUGCAAGCGUUGUCCGGAAUUAUUGGGCGUAAAGAGCUCGUAGGCGGUUUGUCGCGUCUGCUGUGAAGACUCGGGGCUUAACCCCGGGCUUGCAGUUGAUACGGGCAGGCUAGAGUUCGGUAGGGGAGACUGGAAUUCCUGGUGUAGCGGUGAAAUGCGCAGAUAUCAGGAGGAACACCGGUGGCGAAGGCGGGUCUCUGGGCCGAUACUGACGCUGAGGAGCGAAAGCGUGGGGAGCGAACAGG